GAUGAACGCUGGCGGCGUACCUAAUACAUGCAAGUCGAGCGAACAGACGAGGAGCUUGCUCCUCUGACGUUAGCGGCGGACGGGUGAGUAACACGUGGAUAACCUACCUAUAAGACUGGGAUAACUUCGGGAAACUGGAGCUAAUACCGGAUAAUAUAUUGAACCGCAUGGUUCAAUAGUGAAAGACGGUUUUGCUGUCACUUAUAGAUGGAUCCGCGCCGCAUUAGCUAGUUGGUAAGGUAACGGCUUACCAAGGCGACGAUGCGUAGCCGACCUGAGAGGGUGAUCGGCCACACUGGAACUGAGACACGGUCCAGACUCCUACGGGAGGCAGCAGUAGGGAAUCUUCCGCAAUGGGCGAAAGCCUGACGGAGCAACGCCGCGUGAGUGAUGAAGGUCUUCGGAUCGUAAAACUCUGUUAUUAGGGAAGAACAAAUGUGUAAGUAACUAUGCACGUCUUGACGGUACCUAAUCAGAAAGCCACGGCUAACUACGUG
This 497-nucleotide ribosomal RNA is filed under the name uncultured bacterium. RNAcentral's name for it is "partial 16S ribosomal RNA". It matches the Rfam family "Bacterial small subunit ribosomal RNA", at positions 28 to 507 of the family's 1533-position model. The record is from RNAcentral.